Molecule: ribosomal RNA, 774 nt
Filed under: uncultured Neocallimastigales
Lineage: Eukaryota; Fungi; Neocallimastigomycota; Neocallimastigomycetes; Neocallimastigales
Description: partial large subunit ribosomal RNA
Rfam family: Eukaryotic large subunit ribosomal RNA
Source: RNAcentral
UACUAGAGUAGCACUCGCAUAUCAAUAAGCGGAGGAAAAGAAACUAACAAGGAUUCCCCUAGUAACGGCGAGUGAAGCGGGAAGAGCUCAAAUUUGAAAUCUUCAAGGUUCUACCUUGACGAAUUGUAGUUUAUAGAAGUGUUUUCUGUUAGUAGAGUGGCAAAAGUUCUUUGGAAUAGGACAUCAUAGAGGGUGAGAAUCCCGUAUUUGGUCAUUCUUUCUAGCUUUGUGAUACACUUUCAACGAGUCGGAUUGUUUGGGAAUGCAGUCCAAAAUGGGUGGUAAAUUUCAUCUAAAGCUAAAUAUUGGCGAGAGACCGAUAGCGAACAAGUACCGUGAGGGAAAGAUGAAAAGAACUUUGAAAAGAGAGUUAAACAGUACGUGAAAUUGUCAAAAGGGGAGCGUUUGACACCAGUGUUGUUUUUCCGAAAAUCAAUUACGAAUGUUUUAUUUUUGAGGAGUUAUGACUUCAUCGGCUUGCUCCUUUCUUUAUGAAACUUUCUUAAUGCACUUUUCGGUUAACAAGUCAACAUCAAUUUCUUUUGUUGUAAAAGGGUAUGAGGAAGGUGGCUUUCUUUUCGGAGAAAGUGUUUAUAGCCUUGUGCCUCUGCAAUCGGAGAGAUUGAGGUCUGCAGCGUAGAUCCUUCGGGGUUAGAUACAUUUGUGCUAAGUUAUAGCUUUUCAUAGACAACUUGUUGACUAUGUUAAGUCUUGUAGCUUACUCGCUUAUGCUAUUUUACCUACGCUUAGGAUGUUGAAGAUGUAGCACAUCAU